RNAcentral lists this ribosomal RNA (524 nucleotides) under uncultured bacterium. Its description in RNAcentral is "partial 16S ribosomal RNA". It matches the Rfam family "Bacterial small subunit ribosomal RNA", at positions 28 to 523 of the family's 1533-position model. The record is from RNAcentral.
GACGAGCGCUGGCGGCGUGCCUAAUACAUGCAAGUCGAGCGCAGGAAAUCAUCCGAACCCUUCGGGGGGACGUUGAUGGAAUGAGCGGCGGACGGGUGAGUAACACGUAAAGAACCUGCCCUCAGGUCUGGGAUAACCACGAGAAAUCGGGGCUAAUACCGGAUGGGUCAUCGGACCGCAUGGUCCGAGGAUGAAAGGCGCUUCGGCGUCGCCUGGGGAUGGCUUUGCGGUGCAUUAGCUAGUUGGUGGGGUAAUGGCCCACCAAGGCGACGAGGCAUAGCCGACCUGAGAGGGUGAUCGGCCACACUGGGACUGAGACACGGCCCAGACUCCUACGGGAGGCAGCAGUAGGGAAUCUUCCACAAUGGACGAAAGUCUAAUGGAGCAACGCCGCGUGAACGAUGAAGGCCUUCGGGUCGUAAAGUUCUGUUGUAAGGGAAGAACAAGUGCCGCAGGCAAUGGCGGCACCUUGACGGUACCUUGCGAGAAAGCCACGGCUAACUACGUGCCAGCCGCCGCCGUAA